RNAcentral lists this transfer RNA (72 nucleotides) under Diplodactylus pulcher (fine-faced gecko). RNAcentral describes it as "tRNA-Ile". Lineage: Eukaryota; Metazoa; Chordata; Lepidosauria; Squamata; Diplodactylidae. The record is from RNAcentral.
GGAAGAGUGCCUGAAUACCCAAGGACUACUUUGAUAGAGUACAUCAUAGGGGCUAAAUUCCCUCUACUUCCU